GACGAACGCUGGCGGCGUGGAUUAGGCAUGCAAGUCGAACGGUAUCAUCCUUUCGGGGGUGAGAGAGUGGCGAACUGGUGAGUAACACGUAGGUUAUCUACCCUCAAGACGGGGACAACCCAGGGAAACUUGGGCUAAUACCGGAUGUGAGCAACUUUUAGUUGUUUGAAAGGUGGCGUAAGCUGUCGCUUGGGGAUGAGCCUGCGUCCUAUUAGUUAGUUGGUGGGGUAACGGCUCACCUAGGCAAUGAUAGGUAGGCGGCCUUAACGGGUGGUCGCCCACACUGGGAUUGAGAUACGGCCCAGACUCCUACGGGAGGCAGCAGUCGAGAAUAGUCUACAAUGGUCGGAAGACUGAUAGUGCGACGCCGCGUGAACGAUGAAUCCCUUCGGGGUGUAAAGUUCUUUUAUAUGUGAGCAGUGCUUCUUAUAUUAACAGUAUGGGGAGAGAGAUAUUAGCAUAUGAAUAAGCAACGGCUAACUCCGUG
This 487-nucleotide ribosomal RNA is filed under the name uncultured bacterium. RNAcentral's name for it is "bacterial SSU rRNA". It matches the Rfam family "Bacterial small subunit ribosomal RNA", at positions 28 to 507 of the family's 1533-position model. The record is from RNAcentral.